UACAGAGGGGGCAAGCGUUAUUCGGAAUUAUUGGGCGUAAAGGGCGCGUAGGCGGCCUGACAAGUGGAAGGUGAAAUCCCUCGGCUUAACCGAGGAACUGCCCUCCAAACUGUUUGGCUUGAGUCCGGGAGAGGUGAGUGGAAUUCCCAGUGUAGCGGUGAAAUGCGUAGAUAUUGGGAGGAACACCAGUGGCGAAGGCGGCUCACUGGACCGGAACUGACGCUGAUGCGCGAAAGCGUGGGGAGCAAACAGG
Molecule: ribosomal RNA, 253 nt
Filed under: uncultured bacterium
Lineage: Bacteria
Description: partial 16S ribosomal RNA
Rfam family: Bacterial small subunit ribosomal RNA
Source: RNAcentral